This 30-nucleotide small RNA is filed under the name Bombyx mori (domestic silkworm). Its description in RNAcentral is "piRNA piR-bmo-2239356". Lineage: Eukaryota; Metazoa; Arthropoda; Insecta; Lepidoptera; Bombycidae. The record is from RNAcentral.
GCAGCUUGCACGCCGUCUUCUUAGGCCCCC